RNAcentral lists this ribosomal RNA (507 nucleotides) under Triticum aestivum (bread wheat). Its description in RNAcentral is "partial small subunit ribosomal RNA". Lineage: Eukaryota; Viridiplantae; Streptophyta; Magnoliopsida; Poales; Poaceae. The record is from RNAcentral.
AUGUUGGUUAGAUGUGGAUUUAGGGCUAGGAGCACCAGUCAGGAAACCGUUUCAGCAGUGCUGUGCUACUGCAAAAUCUCCUCCUUCAUUUCACAGGCAAUAUGUGGAGGCGCUCUUCAGAGCACGCUUCCCAGGAGAAGGCAUCAGGCGGGAGGUGCCACGUGUUCAGGAGUUCAUCAGCAAGGCUGCCGAGGAGAUUCAAGAGGCAAGGGUUCUGCAAGGCGAUCGUCGUCUGCCACGAGGCGAGGCUCACUGCCCUGGCGAAAAAAACCCCAUGAAUUAACUUGGGUCACAGGUGUGGUUUUGGCUGUUUUGACUUCAUCGUUUGGUGUAACUGGUUAUUCUUUGCCCUUGGGAUCAAAUUGGCUAUUGGGCUUGAGCCAAAUCCGUGUUUUGAGAAAACAAGGGGUUCUCAAACUAGAAUACAAAGGAAAAGGACCACCGAGUUUAAAUCACCAGUUGUUACUCAAAGAGAUCCUUGGAAAGUGUUGGAGGUGUGGUGGUUAG